Dreissena polymorpha is the source of this 1539-nucleotide long non-coding RNA. RefSeq lists it as uncharacterized. The record is from RefSeq and is a predicted model, not a curated record. NCBI's taxonomy places the organism in Eukaryota, Metazoa, Mollusca, Bivalvia, Myida, Dreissenidae. The transcript is spliced from 7 exons.
UAAUGUAUUACCAGAUGUGCCUUAAUCUGCAGUAGAUAUAUAGCUAGCUAAAACGUGUGUACUUUAGUUAAAUAAGAACAAGUUCUUCAACUUGUGUUCGUCUGCUGCAAUCAAACUUCGCAGCACAUUGCAGUAACGAUAUCUCAUACGUUUUUUUCAGAUUCGGAAUAUAAAAGGAAAUUUCUGGAUGGCAUCAAGCGAACAGAAAGAGGGAGACCUAUCAGUAGAAAAAUUGAUUUCCGGAUUACAAAAUGUUAUGCGUUUAGCUGUUCCUGCUAGAGAGGAAUGGGAGAACCUCUUGAAUUCUGGGAGAUCGGAGACGGCAGACACAUUAUUCAGUGAUAUAGAUAAUGCAAUGAAAUUGGCUAAACAAGAAACAUUCAAAAUACAGGAAAAGCUUAUGCGGGCAAAUAAAGAAGCAAGACAAUCAUUCCAGCUUGAGCUAGAACAGUUAAAAAUCGAAAAUGAACAAAACAGAAAAGAUAUUCAACAAUUGACGGAGGAAAAACUAAAGCUCCAAAAAAUGGUUGAUAGCCAGUGUCUGGAAAUCAAGUCUAUAAAAGAAGAACGAGGGAAAUUUAAAUAAGAAUUGAAAGGUGAACAAAAAGAGCUUCAGCAACUUAAUGACGACAAUCGUGGACCCAAGGCAACAAUUAAGAAGAAAUCGGAAAAAAAAACUACCUGAAUUUGAAGAACAAAAAAUUCUCCAAUCAGAUGAUCUUCAGUUGCAUAUGGAUGAUACCAAACAAGCAAAUCUUGCAACAAACCUUACGGUCAAACUUGUUCUUUCUUCUGUUUUAUAUAUUAAUACAAAUCCAUAAUGUAAAUAGGGUUAUACUUUCCAGACACUGAUGAAAUAUGUCAUGCAACGAUGAACCAAAGCGAAUCACUAUUCAAAUGUUCGAGUUACCACUCAAAGUGGAUAUAAAUUAUAAAUAUAAAAUACUAUAUGCACUACAACUAUCUUAUAGCCGUUUGCAUUUCAAUGCCCUUUUUCGUUUUGAUUUCAUAUUCGUCAACUUGCCUAUAGUAAACGGACUUGCACGUUCUGUGAUAGAGAGCAGUGUCCGAGGACUCACAACCAGCAAAAGUGAAAGAUUUGACAAAAAUGUUUGACUGGAAAUAACUCGGAAACAAAACAUUGGAAAUUAUGCACUUCAGGCAGUAGGCGAACAAGGCAUGUGUUAAAAAAAGAAUCAUGCGUGACCAUUAACAUGCUUUUUUAUUCGCCAUUGAGGGAUAAUAUAACUUAAAACAUUCAAUCUUUUAGACCGGCACACUGAUUUCACAAGAAAAAACUGUGUGAUGUAAAAAUCCAAUAACUCGAUAAAAUAUGUCAAAUUUGAUCUCGAAUGCAUGCAAAAACAAUAAGUUCCAUUGUGGAAAAAUGGUUUAAUCAUUAUGUUAAUUAUAUUGAAGAUAUGGAUAAUUGUUUAAAUGAUCAUUUAUUAAAGGACAUAUAGUGAAGAAAGUAUGCUUAAUAACACAUUAGUUAGUGUGUGUAUUAGUAAUCAGAAAUUUUGAAAAUAAUUUAUAAUG